RNAcentral lists this transfer RNA (85 nucleotides) under secondary endosymbiont of Trabutina mannipara. RNAcentral describes it as "tRNA-Leu". It matches the Rfam family "tRNA". Rfam says of the family: Transfer RNA (tRNA) molecules are approximately 80 nucleotides in length. Their secondary structure includes four short double-helical elements and three loops (D, anti-codon, and T loops). Lineage: Bacteria; Pseudomonadati; Pseudomonadota; Gammaproteobacteria; Enterobacterales; Enterobacteriaceae. The record is from RNAcentral.
GCCGAAGUGGCGAAAUUGGUAAACGCAGUUGACUCAAAAUCAACCUCCUUAUGGUAUGCCGGUUCAAGUCCGGCCUUCGGCACUA